UCAGGCCGUUUGUUUGAAAGGGCAAUCCCGUUUUUUCCCAAAGGCUUUUUCCAACUUUUGUCUUGCCAGAGCCCACAACCCGAUUGGGAUUUAUAUUUUUCUUAAAUCCCGUUUGCCUGGCGGCGCCCGCCCCUGCCAUCGCCGGCAGCCAUCAGCCACCGCGCCUCGCUCCUCUCUUCCCCCGUUGAAGGAUUGUAGGCCCUGCCCUCGCUGUAUCCCCCGUGAUUCUUUCCCCGUGUCGCCGCCGUCCCCGUCCAUCGCGUUCGAUCGAGCGGUCGUAGGUCCUGCAGUCGUCGUGCAUGUAGUCUACAGUGCCUUCGGUCGCCGCGGUGCCGCGUUCCCUGUAGACUACAGUGCCUUCGGUCGCGCAUAACCCCUCUUUGUCCUUACGCCCGAAAAUAGAGACCACAGUGCCGUAAUAGCUCGUACAUACAGGAAGGUGCAUGUUUGGGAAUUUUUGUCAGAAAAGACCACAUACGUUUUCAGAUUGACAAAAAAGACCACUUGCUCAUCGUAUUGACAGAAGAGACCAGCUAUGCCGUGGCGGCAGGCCCGGCAGCCGACGCGUGGCACCUGCCGCCACAGACCACGGCGGCAGGGCUUGCCGCCACAGCGAUAUCCUGCACUGGAGUGAUUUAAUUUUACAGAUGAAAAGUGCUCCAGCUACAAAAACCACAGAGGUUGGCGUUUCAUUAUCUGCAAUCCCAAAUAAGUUUAGUCAUUUGAACAAAUUCUUCAGCAAGGAUACUCCUUCCGCUGCAGCAACCAUUGGAGCCAUGGUUUGAGGUCCUUUAAGGUGCCACACCACGAGGGCAUGGUGAUCCCCGACCAGCUCCGCUGUUGAUGAUAAUAACAUUCUUCUUGUACAUGGUCUAGUUACAUUAUUUUUUCUUUGAUGUUGGUGUUGAGCUUGUCGGACCACAAUUAAUGUGAAGUGUAGUGAAAAAGAAAACCAGAAGCGUAGCAAAAAGGGAAGUCGGAGAUAUCAUGCAGUUGUAUGUUGUGAACAUCUGGAAAUAGCAGUGCCAAGAAUUCUUCAAUGUUCCUCACUACUCUGAUUCA
Triticum aestivum (bread wheat) is the source of this 1062-nucleotide long non-coding RNA. RefSeq lists it as uncharacterized. The transcript has 3 exons. Lineage: Eukaryota; Viridiplantae; Streptophyta; Magnoliopsida; Poales; Poaceae. The record is from RefSeq and is a predicted model, not a curated record.